UACGUAGGUGGCAAGCGUUGUCCGGAUUUACUGGGCGUAAAGGAUGCGUAGGCGGACAUUUAAGUCAGAUGUGAAAUACCCGAGCUUAACUUGGGUGCUGCAUUUGAAACUGGGUGUCUAGAGUGCAGGAGAGGUAAGUGGAAUUCCUAGUGUAGCGGUGAAAUGCGUAGAGAUUAGGAAGAACACCAGUGGCGAAGGCGACUUACUGGUCCGGUACUGACGCUGAGGUGCGAAAGCGUGGGGAGCAAACAGG
Molecule: ribosomal RNA, 253 nt
Filed under: uncultured bacterium
Lineage: Bacteria
Description: partial 16S ribosomal RNA
Rfam family: Bacterial small subunit ribosomal RNA
Source: RNAcentral